Molecule: ribosomal RNA, 395 nt
Filed under: uncultured bacterium
Lineage: Bacteria
Description: bacterial SSU rRNA
Rfam family: Bacterial small subunit ribosomal RNA
Source: RNAcentral
UGGGGAAUCUUGCACAAUGGGGGCAACCCUGAUGCAGCGACGCCGCGUGAGCGAUGAAGCCCUUCGGGGCGUAAAGCUCUUUCGACCGGAACGAUAAUGACGGUACCGGGAGAAGAAGCUGCGGCUAACUACGUGCCAGCAGCCGCGGUAAUACGUAGGCAGCAAGCGUUGUUCGGAGUUACUGGGCGUAAAGAGUGCGUAGGCGGUUUUCUAAGUUCGGUGUGAAAUCUCCCGGCUUAACUGGGAGGGUGCGCCGAAGACUGGGAAGCUGGAGUGUGGGAAAGGCAGGCGGAAUUCCUGGUGUAGCGGUGAAAUGCGUAGAUAUCAGGAGGAACACCGGUGGUGUAGACGGCUUGCUAGACCAUAACUGACGCUGAAGCACGAAAGCGUGGGUA